Molecule: ribosomal RNA, 430 nt
Filed under: uncultured eukaryote
Lineage: Eukaryota
Description: SSU rRNA
Rfam family: Eukaryotic small subunit ribosomal RNA
Source: RNAcentral
CAGUAGCGUAUAUUAAAGUUGUUGCAGUUAAAAAGCUCGUAGUUGGAUUUCUGGUUGUAGCGUUGGGCCCACUGGGUUUUACUCAUGUGAGUGCCUGUCCGCUCCUUCCAUCCUUCUAGAGAACGGCUCUCUCCUUCAUUGGUUGUGGAGUCGCAAUCUAGAUCUUUUACUUUGAAAAAUUAGAGUGUUUAAAGCAGGCUUGUGCUAUGAAUACAUUAGCAUGGAAUAAUAAUUUAGGACUUUAGUUCUAUUUUGUUGGUUUCUAGAACUGAAGUAAUGAUUGAUAGGGAUAGUUGGGGGUGCUAGUAUUCAGCGGCCAGAGGUGAAAUUCUUGGAUUCGCUGAAGACUAACUUAUGCGAAAGCAUUCACCAAGGAUGUCUUCUUUAAUCAAGAACGAAAGUUGGGGGAUCGAAGACGAUUAGAUACCGU